Cyanistes caeruleus (blue tit) is the source of this 3051-nucleotide long non-coding RNA. The record is from Ensembl. NCBI's taxonomy places the organism in Eukaryota, Metazoa, Chordata, Aves, Passeriformes, Paridae.
AUGUCCCUGGUGUCACUCAGGUGUGUCCCAAGUGUCCCAAGUGUCCCCCAGGUGUCCCCCGGGUGUCUCAGGUGUCCCCCAGGUGUCCCUCAGGUGUCCCAGGUGUCUCAGGUGUGUCCCAAGUGUCCCCCAGGUGUCCCCCGGGUGUCUCAGGUGUCCCCCAGGUGUCACUCAGGUGUCCCUCAGGUGUCCCCCAGGUGUCCCAGGUGUCCCAGGUGUCCCAGGUGUCCCCCAGGUGUCCCUCAGGUGUCUCAGGUGUCCCUGGUGUCCCUCAGGUGUCACCCCCCAAUAAAGUCCCCAGUGCUGGUGACACCGCGGUGGCUUCAUCUGGGGGAGGGGACCCCAAAAAUGGGGAGAGGGGACAUUGGGGACCCCAAAAAUGGGGAUGGGACCCCCAAAAUUGGGAUUGGGACAAUUUGGGGACCCCAAAAAUGGGGAUGGGACCCCCAAAAUUGGGAUUGGGACGAUUUGGGGACCCCAAAAAUUGGGAUGGGGACAUUGAGGACCCCCAAAAAUGGGGAGGGGACCCCAAAAAUUGAGAUUGGGACAUUUUGGGGACCCCAAAAAUGGGGAGAGGACCCCAAAAAAUGGGAUGGGGACAUUGAGGACCCCCAAAAAUGGGAAGGGGACCCCAAAAAUUGGGAUUGGGACAAUUUGGGGACCCCAAAAAUGGGGAGAGGGGACAUUGGGGACCCCAAAAAUGGGGAUGGGACCCCCAAAAUUGGGAUUGGGACAAUUUGGGGACCCCAAAAAUUGGGAUGGGGAAAUUCUGGGGACCCCAAAAAUGGGGAUGGGACCCCAAAAAUGGGAUGGGGACAAUUUGGGGACCCCAAAAAUUGGGAGACCCCAAAAAUGGGAUUGGGACCCCAAAAUUGGGACUGGGACAAUUUGGGGACCCCAAAAAUGGGGAGAGGGGACAUUGGGGACCCCAAAAAUGGGAUUGGGACAUUCUGGGGACCCCAAAAAUUGGGAUUGGGACAUUGAGGACUCCCAAAAAUUUGGGAUGGGACCCCAAAAAUGGGAUGGGGACCCCAAAAAUUGGGAUUGGGACAAUUUGGGGACCCCAAAAAUGGGGAGGGGACCCCAAAAAAUGGGGAGAGGACCCCAAAAAUUGGGAUUGGGACAUUCUGGGGACCCCAAAAAUUGGGAUUGGGACAUUGAGAACCCCCAAAAAUUUGGGAUGGGACCCCAAAAAUGGGAUGGGGACAAUUUGGGGACCCCAAAAAUGGGGAGAGGGGACAUUGGGGACCCCAAAAAUGGGGAUGGGACCCCAAAAAUUGGGAUUGGGACAAUUUGGGGUCCCCAAAAAUUGGGAUGGGGACAUUGAGGACCCCCAAAAAUGGGGAGAGGACCCCAAAAUUGGGACUGGGACAUUUUGGGGACCCCAAAAAUUUGGAUUGGGACAAUUUGGGGACCCCAAAAAUGGGGAUGGGACCCCCAAAAUGGGAUGGGGACAAUUUGGGGACCCCAAAAAUUUGGGAUGGGACCCCAAAAUUGGGGACAAAGCCUCUCAGACACCCCGAAAUCUCCGCUCCCAAAAUUUUAUUUCCUGAACCUUUCCAGGGCUCCCCUUUUUUGGGGGGAUCCCCCCAAAUUCCGGCCGGGAAUCCCCUCCUUCCCUUUCCCGGGAUUUUUGGGCUUUCCCCGCCUUUUUCCCACUUUUUUUUGGGAUUUUUCCGGGGUUUUUUUCCCAAUUUUUGGGGAUUUUUCUCCCAAUUUUUCUCCAAUUUUUUGGGAUUUUUCCGGGGUUUUUUUCCCAAUUUUUGGGAAUUUUUCCAGGGUUUUUUCCCCAAUUUUUUGGGAUUUUUCUCCCAUUUUUUCCCCAAUUUUUUGGGAUUUUUCUCCCAAUUUUCCCCCAAUUUUUUGGGACUUUUCUCCCAAUUUUUCUCCAAUUUUUUUUGAUUUUUCUCCCAUUUUUUCCCCAAUUUUGGGGGAUUUUUCUCCCAUUUUUUCCCCAAUUUUUGGGGAUUUUUCUCCCAUUUUUUCCCCAAUUUUUUGGGAUUUUUCUCCCAAUUUUUCCCCAAUUUUUUGGGAUUUUUCUCCCAACUUUUCCCCAAUUUUUUGGGAUUUUUCUCCCAUUUUUUCCAUGAUUUUUUGGGAUUUUUCUCCCAACUUUUCUCCAAUUUUUGGGAAUUUUUCUCCCAUUUUUUCCAUGAUUUUUGGGGAUUUUUCUCCCAUUUUUUCCCCAAUUUUUUGGGAUUUUUCUCCCAUUUUUUCCCCGUUUUUCUGGGAUUUUCCCAUCAUUUUUCCCCCAUUUUUUUGAAGGAUUUCUCCCGUUUUUCCCGCGGAUUUUGGGGAUUUUCCCGCCAUUUUUCCCGCGGAUUUUGGGGGUUUUCCCGCCAUUUUUCCCGCGGAUUUUGGGGGUUUUCCCGCCGUUUUUUUCCCGGUUUUUUGGAGGAUUUUUCCCGUUUUUUCCCCGUUUUUCCUCUCCUUUUUCCUCCUUUUCCUGGGGGGUUCCCCCUCCUCGUUUUUCUCCUUCUGCUCCAAACUCUGCCGGAUCCGGGCCUGGGGGAGGAGGGGGGAAAAAUUCGGGAAUUCCCAAAAUUUGGGAAUUCCCAAAAUCCUGGGAACCCCCCCCCAAAAAAAAAGUUUGGGAAUUUCCUCAAAAAUUCCAGGAAUUCCCUGGGAAACUCUUCCCAAAUUUUUGGGGUUUUUGUUUUGGGGAUGGAGGGUGAGGACACCCAGGAAUUCCUGAAGAAUUCCCAAAAAAAAUUCCCAAAAAUUCCCCCCAAAAUUUCCCAAAAAAUCCCCCCAAAAAUCAAAAAAAAUCCCCCAAAAAUCCCUAAAAAAUUCCCAAAAAAUCCCAAAAAACUCCCAAAAAAUCCCCCAAAAAAUCCCCAAAAACCCCAAAAAAUCCCCAAAAAUUCCCAAAAAAUUCCCCCCCCCAAAAAUAUAAAAAAACCCAAAAAAAAUCCCAGAAGAAAACCAAAAAAUUCCCAAAAAAUCCCCCAAAAAUCCCAAAAAAAUUCCCAAAAAAUCCCCCCAAAAUUCCCAAAAAAUCCCCAAAAAAUUCCCAAAAAAUAAAAAAAAAUUUCCCCAAAAAUCCCCUCA